GACGAACGCUGGCGGCGUGCUUAACACAUGCAAGUCGAACGGAAAGGCCCUGCUUUUGUGGGGUGCUCGAGUGGCGAACGGGUGAGUAACACGUGAGUAACCUGCCCUUGACUUUGGGAUAACUUCAGGAAGCUGGGGCUAAUACCGGAUAGGAGCUCCUGCUGCAUGGUGGGGGUUGGAAAGUUUCGGCGGCUGGGGAUGGACUCGCGGCUUAUCAGCUUGUUGGUGGGGUAGUGGCUUACCAAGGCUUUGACGGGUAGCCGGCCUGAGAGGGUGACCGGCCACAUUGGGACUGAGAUACGGCCCAGACUCCUACGGGAGGCAGCAGUGGGGAAUAUUGCACAAUGGGCGGAAGCCUGAUGCAGCAACGCCGCGUGCGGGAUGACGGCCUUCGGGUUGUAAACCGCUUUCGCCUGUGACGAAGCGUGAGUGACGGUAAUGGGUAAAGAAGCACCGGCUAACUACGUG
Molecule: ribosomal RNA, 468 nt
Filed under: uncultured bacterium
Lineage: Bacteria
Description: partial 16S ribosomal RNA
Rfam family: Bacterial small subunit ribosomal RNA
Source: RNAcentral